Molecule: ribosomal RNA, 607 nt
Filed under: uncultured Thelephoraceae
Lineage: Eukaryota; Fungi; Basidiomycota; Agaricomycetes; Thelephorales; Thelephoraceae
Description: eukaryotic LSU rRNA
Rfam family: 5.8S ribosomal RNA (bases 220-374)
Source: RNAcentral
CGGAAGGAUCAUUACUGAGUUGUCCACUGAGCUGGUGGCUGGUCCUCAAACAUGGGGGGCAUGUGCACGCUCUGUUCACACAUCCACUCACACCUGUGCACCCUCUGUAGUUCUAUGGUCUGGGGGGACACCUGUCUCCCUCCUGUGGUUCUACGUCUUUACACAUACACCGUAGCAAAGUCUUAUGGAAUGUGCACCGCGUUUAACGCAAUACAAUACAACUUUCAGCAACGGAUCUCUUGGCUCUCGCAUCGAUGAAGAACGCAGCGAAAUGCGAUAAGUAAUGUGAAUUGCAGAAUUCAGUGAAUCAUCGAAUCUUUGAACGCACCUUGCGCCCCUUGGCUAUUCCGAGGGGCAUGCCUGUUUGAGUAUCAUGAACACCUCAACUCUCCCGGUUUGCCGUGAUGAGCUUGGACUUUUGGGGGUUUUGCUUGGCCUACGGUCGGCUCCUCUGAAACGGAUCAGCUUGCCAGUGUUUGGCGGCGUCACGGGUGUGAUAACUAUCUACGCUUGUGAUUGCUUGCUGAGCAACCUCUGGAGACGGAGGUUCGCUGGAGCUUAUAAAUGUCUCUCCUCAGCGAAGACAGCUUUUUGACCGUUCGAUCUC